This 300-nucleotide ribosomal RNA is filed under the name Triticum aestivum (bread wheat). RNAcentral's name for it is "partial small subunit ribosomal RNA". The record is from RNAcentral. Lineage: Eukaryota; Viridiplantae; Streptophyta; Magnoliopsida; Poales; Poaceae.
AUGGUAUCAUCAUUUCAUCCACAUAGUAUGUGCAAGAAAGUUGAGGGGGUUACGGCAAAAACUGGAUGCACUUCGUGUAUAAAACGGACAAUCUAUUUCGAAGUAUCAGGAAUUCAUACGGAAACUUGUCUGUUACAACAGGCAUUUCAAAUGAACUACGAAAAGGUUAAAAGUUGGCAUGGUAUCAUCAUAAUAGUUGUGGAGAAAGUCUUCACUUAUUCUUCGCUUGUGUCCUUUCCUUAUUGCGCCGUAACCAUGGAUAAUCUUCAUCAUUUAUCAGGAUGCUUGGGUCAGCCUUGA